RNAcentral lists this ribosomal RNA (507 nucleotides) under uncultured eukaryote. RNAcentral describes it as "SSU rRNA". It matches the Rfam family "Eukaryotic small subunit ribosomal RNA", at positions 357 to 883 of the family's 1831-position model. The record is from RNAcentral.
GGGUAACGGAGAAUUAGGGUUCGAUUCCGGAGAGGGAGCCUGAGAAACGGCUACCACAUCUACGGAAGGCAGCAGGCGCGUAAAUUACCCAAUCCUGAUUCAGGGAGGUAGUGACAAGAAAUAACAACUCGGGCAUUUUUAAUGCUUCGAAUUUGCAAUGGGAACAAUCUAAAUCACUUAUCGAGGAACAAUUGGAGGGCAAGUCUGGUGCCAGCAGCCGCGGUAAUUCCAGCUCCAAUAGCGUAUAUUAAAGUUGUUGCAGUUAAAAAGCUCGUAGUUGAAUUUUCUGAUUAUGAAUGUACUGGGUAACCGGUCCAUUUAUAGUCAUCCACAUGAGAACCUUUCUCGGCCUUCACUGGUCGGUUGGGGAUCAUGUACUUUACUUUGAAAAAAUACAGAGUGUUUCAGGCAGGCGUUUGCAUGAAUACACAAGCAUGGAAUAAUGGAAUAGGACUAGGGUCCAUUUUAUUGGUUAUUGGACCAUAGUAAUGAUUAAUAGGGACAGUU